Equus asinus (donkey) is the source of this 4530-nucleotide long non-coding RNA. The record is from Ensembl. NCBI's taxonomy places the organism in Eukaryota, Metazoa, Chordata, Mammalia, Perissodactyla, Equidae.
CCACAUGGGACCACUGCCAGGCUGAGGCCCCCUUCCAGGCCUCCCUGGACGGCCCACGUCACUCCCUGCCUCUGGAAGGGGACUUAGAAACAUUUUCAGGAGGUGCUUCUGACACGGUCUGAAAAAAUGGGAAGCUCUCAGCACAGUGAUCCACAUUGCAGCCUGGUAACAAUCAGCAGGACUGGGUAGUCACUGCCCCUCUUCAGGUGGGGUCUGUGUCCUCCAGGUGGCCAGACUGCCCUGCCUGGCCUGGUGCCUGUGCAUUCUGUGUGUGAGAGCUCUGGUGUCGUCCUUCCUCACCCUCAUUCCACACACAUCCAUUGUAUAAUGGGAAAGUGAUGGCUUUGUAAUGGCUAGGCUGAACUACAUUUCCCCGAACUCCCUUACUUGUCUGUUUCCCAUUAGGGUGAGCCACAAGGCAUGUUCUUGCCCGAUUUGGAAGGAAGGAACCAUGUGGGUUGCUGAUCUGCUGAUUUACCUCCUUGGUGUGAAGCAGCCCCUGGGCCUGCAAUUACUCUACAUUCCCUGGAUUCUCCUUCAGUUUUACUGACUCCUGGGCCAGGUGUGUGCAUGGUUAGCUGUGUGACAAAGGGUCUCAACUUCUGCAGGAUACCCUCAUCACCAAGGUCAAAGGCAACAAGCACCAACACAAGUUUCAGUCCAUCCUGGUGUUCCAGCUUGUGCCGGUGGUGUUUCAGCCUGCUCAUGUUCUUCCCCUCCUGACUGUGUACCUCAGACUCCAGCAUCAGUCACAAAGAUUCAGGCUUACAGAAACUGCUGCGAUUGUACGUCAAAGUUAAAGUAAAGUAGCCAGUUAGCAGCAAAAGGAGUUGAUUCAGGAAUAACCAGAGGAAUUGCAAUUCAGGAAAUGCAAGCUAAGGCAGACGGUAGGCAAAUCAGAGAACAAAGGUGGAGAACUUGCUUUUAUAGAGAAAAAGGGGGAGUUGGGUGGGGCUGUUCUAAAGGAAAGGUCAUUGGAGGAAAGUAAGAGUUCAGGGUGGUGACAGCUUCUCAUUGGCUCAGCUGUUGCUGGGCAAGGAGAAAACCUUCCUUCCUCCUGCUGGAGUAGUAAAGUAAUUGCACUUCCUGCCCAAAAUUGUAAAGUGAGAAGAUAUGUGUGUCAGUUUCCCUUAGAGGGUUUCCUGACUCCGUUUUAAAUGAGGUUUCCCUUUAUUGUCACAUGUACGAGCCAGUUUCCUGUAACCAGUCCAGUAUUUAGGUGUGUAUGUGCCUAUAUCCUUCUGGGUCUGCUUCUCCCUUGAACUCUGACUGACAUGGGAACUUGAACACCUGCUGACUUUUCCUGCCUCAUGUCCUGUCAGUCUACUUGCUGCUUUCACCAUUCCCCAAUUCAGGAGCUUUUCCCCUACUUUUUUCCUGCCCUUCCUUUUUCCCUACCCGAGAGCCUGUGCCAGUGCUGCUCCAGCCUGGAAUGUCCCUACCCCAAAGCUGCUGGUUUAUCUGUCCUCAGGCACGUGGCUGAGCUCCUCGAGAACAGGGAGUAGGUGUGAUAGGUCCCCAUCCCUGCUUCUGCUCAACCAGGAUGUGCUGAAUGAAUGACUGUGGACUAGGCCCUUGACGUAGGAGAUUUCAUUCCUUUCUCAGAAUACCUCUGCAAGUAUCACUGCCCUCAUUUGCAAGUGCAAGUGGCCCCAGUAGCAGUUGCUGUGGAAAGAACCAAGGCCUCUUGGCUGCCUCAUGACUGCUGGAGCUGCCAGAACAGCUAAUGUGCCCUCUGGCCACAUCACCCAAGGUCUGAUGCCUGGGACAGAGAGAUGUCAGUACCCCUUGUGCCCAACAGGUUGUGUGCUCAGUGCUAAGCCCGGCCGUGGCAGAGGACAGGUUCAGCUAGGUUGGUGCACGAGAGUCAGUUGGGUGCAGACCCCAUUCUAUGAGUCGCUAAAGCUGCACAGCCUGGAAAAGGGCCUUUUCAGUGGCUGCAGGGCUGUCUCAGGGCCAGGGAGAAGUCGGAUCUAGGGACCCAGAAGGUAGACCUGAGAUCCUGAGGGGGUUCACAGGGAGGCAGUUCCCAGUUCCAUGAGAGGAAGGAGGCAGUAUUGCAGGAGGAGAGAGCGCUAUUCCCAGGGGGAUGUGAGGGAUGGAGGUAGGAAAACCUGGAGACCCUGGUCAGAGGCUCUGUGUUCAGAUGCUCUCUGGUUAGAUGAAAAAAUAAACCUUUCUUGGCUCCAUUUAUAGAUGAGGAAAUUAAGGCUUGGGGAGAACACUCUUGCCCCAGACCAAAAGACCAUGGUGGAGCCAGGCCCAGAACCCUGAUAUCAGCCUCCAGGGCCUGGUCCUGCUUGACCCCUCUCCUGAUCAGUGGGCAGAGAGGUGUCCAGGCCUGGCCCAUUGCUAUGCCCCUAUUUUACAGACAAUCAAAUGCACCUGGUCCUUUCCUUCCUCACUGCACCAGGGUCACCUCCUCCAGGAAGCCUUCCUACUGGGCCUUGCGGUGUCAUGUGCCGCCAAUGUUCACCUGGAAUGAGGCUUCUUAAGGCCAAGUCCAAGAGACACAGUGGGCUCUCCCUAUGUGUUGACAAAGAUGGCCACUGGCAACUGUGGCCCCAUGUCCCUACCCUUUUAGUGAUCCUGAGGGAGAGAGCACCUCUUUCUCAGUAGUUCCAGGAAAAGUCCCAGGAUUGACUCUCAUUGAAGCCACUGGAGUCAAGAACUCAUUUUUGACCCAGUCAUUGUAGCAAAUUGAAUAACCAACUGAAUGCUCAUUAGCCAGGUCUUUGAUUCAUGACCAUCCCUGGGACUGGAGGGGUCAGACUCCCAGAACCAUGUGGCCUGAGUAGGGUGGGUUGGGACCCCAGAGGAAAAUUAAAGUGCUCUUCAUUAUCAGAAGAGUGGGAGGCCCCACUGAGGGCUGGCCCACUGGGUGGUCCAGCGCGUCUGGAGGAGGCAGGCCUUGGGGGAGGAAACAGCGAGCUAGCCCAAGUCUUCAAGGAAUGGAGAGGGGGUGACAAGAGAGAGGUGAGGGGCAGCAGCAGCAAAGUAGGAGGCCACUGGAAGAGCCAAGAGGUCUGAGUAGCAAAGGUAGAUUUUGGUGGGAAAUAUGGAAAGGCAAUGCUGAACAAGAAUGACCUGAAGGACAUUUUGGAGCCCUGGAGCUCAGGGAUGUCCUCAAAGGGCCGUCAGUCAGCAGGGUGGGGGGCUUUGGUUAGGGAGGGCUCAGAGAAAGGGGUGAAGGUCAGUGUGAAUGGUUGGGCAGGAAGGAGCAGUGUCUACGUGCCCAGGUCCCCUGCAGCAGCGCUGCCCAACCCUCUCUGAACCUCACAGCCACCUGAGAGAUGGUCAGAAAGCCAAGUCUCAGGCCCCAGCCUCAGACUCUAACUUGGAAAACUGGGGUGAGUCCAGGUGGCAUCUGGGCUUGGGUUUCUGGUUUAGAAUGGGAUAGAACCUGUGGGAUCACAUUUAGGUGGUCCAGAGCACCAUUCCCCAGAAUCCUGAGUAGGCCAAGGUCUCUCAUGGCCUCUACCUGCAGGUGGCCUAUUGACUGGCCCUGCAGGCUGUGUGGGACAGGACCUGUGCUGGCACAGGGCACAGUGCCCCCCAGUCAAAACUGCAAAGGAGAUGAAGCUGCUAGUGAUCAGCAUGUGGCCAGGACAUAGGCUGCCAGGAUGGGUAGAGCUGUCACCCGUUGUCCACCAUAGUCCCUCUGUGUCCAACCUAGGCCUCCUCCUGCCUGCUUUCUGGAUGCCCACUGUUGCCCAGAACCAAAACAUCCACAGCAAAGUCUGGCAUCGCCAUUUCCUCCUUUGCUGUAGCCAGUGCCUCCUGCCGCCAUCAGCCACGGGUCUCCACAUUCAGGGCCCCAUCUGAACUUUUGCCUAGAGAGCAGUGAUGUGCUGAGGGGGGCAUCUGUGACGUGUCUCCCCCACUGGCUGGGGGGGUUGGGCAGGGAAGGCACUUGCGCUGGUUUUGUCCACUGCCCUGUCGUCUGAGCCCAGCACACAGCAGGGCAGGUAAGACUCACACUGGCACCUGGCCCUGCAGUUAGUUCGCUGAGGCAGCAAGCAGUGAGGAGCGCCCAGCAGGAUGUGAAGAGACCUGAAGAGGGACUAGAGUGGCCACUUGCUGUGUGUGGGAAGGGGCCAGCAGGGAGGUAGGUGGGUGAUGGGUCUGCUCUGUGACCCCACCAGAGAUGUGCCAGGGAGGGAUAGUAGCUGCCAGGCCCGGGUCAGGGGUACUAGCAGGCCAGGGGCUCUUCUCCAGUGGUGCUCCCUGCCCUCCCUACUCCUCCUCCAAGCUAUUGCCCUUCCCCUCAUCACCAGUAGUUUCUUACACAGGGAUCAAAAGAGAUCCCCUGCAGGGGCUGGCCCCGUGGCCGUGGCCGAGUGGUUAAGUUUCCGCGCGCUCCGCUGCAGGCGGCCCAGUGUUUCGUUGGUUCGAAUCCUGGGCACGGACAUGGCACUGCUCAUCAAACCACGCUGAGGCAGCGUCCCAUAUGCCACAACUAGAAGGACCCACAACAAAGAAUAUACAACUAUGUACUGGGGGGCUUUGGGGAGAAAAAGGAAAAAAAAU